CAGUCGCCGCGGGAAUACGUAGGGUGCAAGCGUUAAUCGGAAUUACUGGGCGUAAAGCGUGCGCAGGCGGUUAUAUAAGACAGAUGUGAAAUCCCCGGGCUCAACCUGGGAACUGCAUUUGUGACUGUAUAGCUAGAGUACGGCAGAGGGGGAUGGAAUUCCGCGUGUAGCAGUGAAAUGCGUAGAUAUGCGGAGGAACACCGAUGGCGAAGGCAAUCCCCUGGGCCUGUACUGACGCUCAUGCACGAAAGCGUGGGGAGCAAACAGGAUUAGAAACCCCCGUAGUCCCUGUCUCUUAUAC
RNAcentral lists this ribosomal RNA (301 nucleotides) under uncultured bacterium. RNAcentral describes it as "partial 16S ribosomal RNA". It matches the Rfam family "Bacterial small subunit ribosomal RNA", at positions 509 to 807 of the family's 1533-position model. The record is from RNAcentral.